This 61-nucleotide microRNA precursor is filed under the name Chrysemys picta bellii (western painted turtle). RNAcentral describes it as "Cpi-Mir-737_pre stem-loop". It matches the Rfam family "mir-737 microRNA precursor family". Lineage: Eukaryota; Metazoa; Chordata; Testudines; Emydidae. The record is from RNAcentral.
AUUUUUUUAGGUUUUGAUUUUUAUUACAUCUUCAUGCGAAAAUCAAAACCUAAAGAAAAUG